This is an RNA transcript of Musa acuminata AAA Group (dessert banana), 1039 nucleotides long. RefSeq lists it as uncharacterized. Lineage: Eukaryota; Viridiplantae; Streptophyta; Magnoliopsida; Zingiberales; Musaceae. The record is from RefSeq and is a predicted model, not a curated record. The transcript is spliced from 5 exons.
CCUAACAAACACCGACGCCCACGCGAAAUGGCUCGCUUCCUUAAACCCUUACCCCUUCUUCGCCGCUCCUUCCUUUCCGUUCCCGGCAGCCACCCCUCCGCCUUCGACGAGAACCUCCUCCGCCUCCUACGCAACGAGAUCUCCUACCUCUCCGCCUACCUCCGCCCUCGCCCGCCGCCGCAGCGCUUCAGGUCGUUCUCCAUCGAGGACCGCCCCGGCGAGCAGUGGAUCCGCCUCCGGAGCAAGCACGGUGAUGAGGACGUCAAGGUCGACGUCACCAUGUUCGACGGCGCCGCGCCCGUCCCCUCCGCCCCGAUCGCCGAGAAGGUGAAGGCUUUGGAGCGCGGUCCCCGCCUCCACAUCAGCCUCAUCGUUGAGGUCUCCCGGGGCGAGGCCUCCGACUCCGUCCUCGAACUCAUCUGCUCCGCUUGGCCCGAUUCCCUCGUCGUUGAGACGCUCUUCCCUCUGCACCGGAAGGUCGCUGUCUUUCGCCCAUACUUUGGUCGCAACUUCAAGAAUUUGGAGCAGGAGGUGCGGAGGCAGGUGAUCUCGUAUCUGGAGGAGCGCGGGGUGGACGACGAUCUCGCGGAGUUCUUGCAUGAGUAUAUGACCAACAAGGACAAAGUGGAGCUCCUUCGAUGGUUGAGGAUCGUCGAGUCUUAUGUCCUGAAGUAGAGAGGUUGAACACCUAUUUAUUGAUCUUCUUCUUGCGACUGCACCUAACAAUUACCUCUAUUAUUCUGUACAAAAUCUCACUGGUCUAUGUUAACCAGUUAAAGAAGUUGUCUUGAGACACCAUUCCAUGGUUGCAGAUGUAGAUGAUCAGGAGCAAUGUUGGGGAUAGAGAAGCGUCUUGUAUAUGGAUUGGCCAUAAGAUCACUUGGGAACUUCUGCCAACUGUUGCAACAUCUCUUCGACACUACGUCUCUAUCACCUUCUUCUUUAUUAAAAAGUGCUUCCUACUGUGGUCACUAAUUGAGGGAAGUGAGAAACAUUCCUACUCCAUUCUUUCUAAUGAAAAGUUCAUCAUGUUGCUUUA